GCCCUCCCUCCGCGCCCAGACUCCGUACGGGACGGAGGCAGUGAGGGAAUAAUUGGGCAAUAGGCGCAAGCCUGACCCAGCCAUGCCGCGUGAAGGAUGACUGCCCUAUGGGUUGUAAACUUCUUUUAUACGGGAAGAAACUUUCGAACGUGUUCGGAAUUGACGGUACUGUAUGAAUAAGCAUCGGCUAACUCCGUGCCAGCAGCCGCGGUAAUUC
Molecule: ribosomal RNA, 217 nt
Filed under: uncultured bacterium
Lineage: Bacteria
Description: partial 16S ribosomal RNA
Rfam family: Bacterial small subunit ribosomal RNA
Source: RNAcentral